Cajanus cajan (pigeon pea) is the source of this 325-nucleotide non-coding RNA. The record is from RefSeq and is a predicted model, not a curated record. Lineage: Eukaryota; Viridiplantae; Streptophyta; Magnoliopsida; Fabales; Fabaceae.
CAUGAUCAGUGAGCUGAAGAAGGGACGGUUGAAGUUAGAGUAAGAAAUUUUUGCUGGUGAUUUUCUCGCGUUCUUUUUGUUCAUGAACUGAAGAAGGGACGGUCGAAGUUAGAGUGAGAAAUUUUGCUGAAAAUUAGUCUCACGAGAGUGAUGGGUGGAACUGUUAAUUGGUUCUUGAAGUCUCAACGCUGAGAAAAUUUUGGUGAGGAAGGAUGAAUAUCGUUAAGGGUGUUGCUGACCUUAUCCGAAGAACCUCUACUGGGAAUACCGGAGAAUCUUCAAGCUUCCAAGGUCAAAAGUUCUCUCCUCCUGGGCCCAGGAUUCG